GGUGCUUACCAUGCAGUCGACGAUGAAGCCCAGCUUGCUGGGCGGAUUAGUGGCGAACGGGUGAGUAACACGUGAGUAACCUGCCCUUGACUCUGGGAUAAGCCCGGGAAACUGGGUCUAAUACCGGAUAGGAACGCCUAUCGCAUGAUGGGUGUUGGAAAGAUUUUUCGGUCAUGGAUGGACUCGCGGCCUAUCAGCUUGUUGGUGAGGUAAUGGCUCACCAAGGCGACGACGGGUAGCCGGCCUGAGAGGGUGACCGGCCACACUGGGACUGAGACACGGCCCAGACUCCUACGGGAGGCAGCAGUGGGGAAUAUUGCACAAUGGGCGAAAGCCUGAUGCAGCGACGCCGCGUGAGGGAUGACGGCCUUCGGGUUGUAAACCUCUUUCAGUAGGGAAGAAGCGAAAGUGACGGUACCUGCAGAAGAAGCACCGGCUAACUACGUGCCAGCAGCCGCGGUAAUACGUAGGGUGCGAGCGUUAUCCGGAAUUAUUGGGCGUAAAGAGCUCGUAGGCGGUUUGUCACGUCUGUCGUGAAAGUCCGGGGCUUAACCCCGGAUCUGCGGUGGGUACGGGCAGACUAGAGUGCAGUAGGGGAGACUGGAAUUCCUGGUGUAGCGGUGGAAUGCGCAGAUAUCAGGAGGAACACCGAUGGCGAAGGCAGGUCUCUGGGCUGUAACUGACGCUGAGGAGCGAAAGCAUGGGGAGCGAACAGGAUUAGAUACCCUGGUAGUCCAUGCCGUAAACGUUGGGCACUAGGUGUGGGGACCAUUCCACGGUUUCCGCGCCGCAGCUAACGCAUUAAGUGCCCCGCCUGGGGAGUACGGCCGCAAGGCUAAAACUCAAAGGAAUUGACGGGGGCCCGCACAAGCGGCGGAGCAUGCGGAUUAAUUCGAUGCAACGCGAAGAACCUUACCAAGGCUUGACAUGUUUUCGAUCGCCGUGGAGACACGGUUUCCCCUUUGGGGCGGAUUCACAGGUGGUGCAUGGUUGUCGUCAGCUCGUGUCGUGAGAUGUUGGGUUAAGUCCCGCAACGAGCGCAACCCUCGUUCCAUGUUGCCAGCACGUCGUGGUGGGGACUCAUGGGAGACUGCCGGGGUCAACUCGGAGGAAGGUGAGGACGACGUCAAAUCAUCAUGCCCCUUAUGUCUUGGGCUUCACGCAUGCUACAAUGGCCGGUACAAUGGGUUGCGAUACUGUGAGGUGGAGCUAAUCCCAAAAAGCCGGUCUCAGUUCGGAUUGGGGUCUGCAACUCGACCCCAUGAAGUCGGAGUCGCUAGUAAUCGCAGAUCAGCAACGCUGCGGUGAAUACGUUCCCGGGCCUUGUACACACCGCCCGUCAAGUCACGAAAGUCGGUAACACCCGAAGCCGGUGGCCUAACCCUUGUGGGGGAGCCGUCGAAGUGACACGC
This 1412-nucleotide ribosomal RNA is filed under the name Micrococcus flavus. RNAcentral describes it as "bacterial SSU rRNA". It matches the Rfam family "Bacterial small subunit ribosomal RNA". The record is from RNAcentral. Lineage: Bacteria; Bacillati; Actinomycetota; Actinomycetes; Micrococcales; Micrococcaceae.